RNAcentral lists this ribosomal RNA (753 nucleotides) under Pachygnatha degeeri. RNAcentral's name for it is "eukaryotic LSU rRNA". It matches the Rfam family "Eukaryotic large subunit ribosomal RNA", at positions 80 to 634 of the family's 3401-position model. The record is from RNAcentral. Lineage: Eukaryota; Metazoa; Arthropoda; Arachnida; Araneae; Tetragnathidae.
UGAGUAACGGCGAGCGAAAGGGAAGAGUCCAGCACCGAAUCCGAUGGGCGAGAGCUCGGAGGAAAUGUGGUGUUUGGGAGCGAGCAACUCUCCGCGCGACCGAGGAGCAAGUCCCCCUGACCGGGGCUCUUUCCCAGAGCGGGUGCGAGGCCCAUAGCUUCUGGAAGCGCGGAGAACGCAAACUCCUCGGAGUCGGGUUGCUUGGGAGUGCAGCCCUAAGCGGGUGGUAAACUCCACCUAAGACUAAAUACCGCCGUGAGACCGAUAGCAAACAAGUACCGUGAGGGAAAGUUGCAAAGAACUUUGAAGAGAGAGUUCAAGAGUACGUGAAACUGCUCAGAGGGAAACGGGUGGGCCCUCGAAAUCCUAUAGUUCCGAGGAUUCAGAGUCUCCUAUGAAGGGUUUGGAGGGAGUUUUAUUUGAAGGUAUCCCGGACGGGACCGCUCUCUUUUCUCUCGGCGUCGGAGAUUCGCAUUUCCUUCGGGCUUCGAGGACGCCGCAACCGGUUGGCGGAACGGCCAUGAAGUUUCGGACUGGCAGGUGGCCGGCGUUUUUCUUUAUGAGAUUCACCGGUUGUUAGCCGCCGAGACCGGGCCGCACCCCGACCGUGGUAAUGUCCACGCUUGUGGGCGACUUCUCUUCCGUACGGUAGCGAGUGAGCGAGGCAGGUGAGGUCCUGUUACUGUCGUCGCACCGGUUCACCGGUGGGCGGCGAUGCAGGAUCCCCGUUGGCUUCGCGAGGCUCGUAACGGA